Sarcophilus harrisii (Tasmanian devil) is the source of this 1026-nucleotide long non-coding RNA. RefSeq lists it as uncharacterized. Lineage: Eukaryota; Metazoa; Chordata; Mammalia; Dasyuromorphia; Dasyuridae. The record is from RefSeq and is a predicted model, not a curated record. The transcript is spliced from 4 exons.
GAUAAUUUGGCAACAUUGACACAAGUACUUCUUUCUGAAUGGUGCCAUGUCUAUAAAAGUAUCUUCCUUUCUCACCAAAGAAUGAUCCAAGAUUACAACUCCAACUCCCUGAGAGGGUCUGUUUUCAGACAAUGGAGACGCUUUUAAUUAGGCUAUUUGAGUAGAUUUUCUUCCUCUAAAUGUCUGUUGCAUUAAUGGGAUCGCUUUUAGUCUCCUGAAUGCACUUAAAAAGACAUGGAAACCUGUUUAAGACCAGAUGCACUGAUGGGCUUUUCUCCAGUAGUUGGGAGAGAAGAAAAUGAAGCUGAAACUGUCAGAAAAAUGACAGGGAACAGAGGCCCAUGGGAGCAAAGAAUGAACCUGUUCUGUGUAUUUUGGAGCAAUUUCUGUUCAUUACUUGCGUGUGAUUAGUUUCUGGGCAAGUGACCAACAGGGAAAUAAAUGGAUCUAAUUCAAAUGUUGAACAUACUGGCAGGGACAGGAGAAGCACAAAAGCAUAGGCUGAGCCCCAACAACAGAGCAUUCUCCAAGCUAGGUGGGAGCCAGGCAGGGACUGGGUAUGAAGAAGGCCUGGCUCAAAGGGGCCGCAGUGACUGAGUACAAUGGACAGUUGAUGAUGCCCAUUGAUUCUGAUAAAAGGAAAAUGCAGUUGUCUUGUAUUCCUGCAUUCCUCUACAGGGAGAAAAGUGAUCUGGAGCCUUCAGAAUACGGACAGGUUGUACUGUCUGAGCGCUUGUUUAGGGAUUUGUGGAAUGAAUCCCAUUCAGUAUGGACUAUGGAGUGGGACUAGCAGUCAUUCAGGCUCCCUGGAGCUCAAGUCAUUACUGAGUUCAGGUGAAGAGGCUUAUCAUCCAAAAGUGUCUACUGGAAUGGAUUAUCUAAAUCUAAAUCCUAUGAUCUCCUGGCAAAGAUGGAAUUAGAACUCUGGACUCUGGAUUCUUAAGAUGGAUACUUACGCAAAACUCGAACUCCAUGCUUUAGAGCUUGGACACGGCUGGGUUCUAUGGACAUACUGAGCAUGGUCUG